UACGAAGGGGGCUAGCGUUGCUCGGAAUCACUGGGCGUAAAGGGUGCGUAGGCGGGUCUUUAAGUCAGGGGUGAAAUCCUGGAGCUCAACUCCAGAACUGCCUUUGGUACUGAAGAUCUUGAGUUCGGGAGAGGUGAGUGGAACUGCGAGUGUAGAGGUGAAAUUCGUAGAUAUUCGCAAGAACACCAGUGGCGAAGGCGGCUCACUGGCCCGAUACUGACGCUGAUGGCACGAAAGCGUGGGGAGCAAACAGG
RNAcentral lists this ribosomal RNA (254 nucleotides) under uncultured bacterium. RNAcentral's name for it is "partial 16S ribosomal RNA". It matches the Rfam family "Bacterial small subunit ribosomal RNA", at positions 524 to 776 of the family's 1533-position model. The record is from RNAcentral.